This 443-nucleotide ribosomal RNA is filed under the name uncultured bacterium. Its description in RNAcentral is "partial 16S ribosomal RNA". It matches the Rfam family "Bacterial small subunit ribosomal RNA", at positions 338 to 795 of the family's 1533-position model. The record is from RNAcentral.
CCUACGGGUGGCAGCAGUGGGGAAUAUUGGGCAAUGGGCGCAAGCCUGACCCAGCAAAGCCGCGUGAAGGAAGAAGGCUCUCGGGUUGUUAACUUUUUUUUUCAGGGACGUAGCAAGUGACGGUACCUGAGGAAUAAGCCACGGCUAACUACGUGCCAGCAGCCGCGGCAAUACGUAGGUGGCAAGCGUUAUCCGGAUUUACUGGGUGUAAAGGGCGUGUAGGCGGGAAAGCAAGUCAGGUGUGAAAACCAUGGGCCCAACCUGUGGUCUGCAUUUGAAACUGGUUUUCUUGAGUACUGGAGAGGCAGACGGAAUUCCUCGUGUAGCGGUGAAAUGCGUAGAUAUGACGAAGAACACCGAUGGCGAAGGCAGUCUGCGGGACAGCAACUGACGCUGAGGCGCGAAAGCGUGGGGAGCAAACAGGAUUAGAUACCCUUGUAGUC